This 780-nucleotide long non-coding RNA is filed under the name Phasianus colchicus (ring-necked pheasant). RNAcentral's name for it is "lncRNA (ENSPCLG00000004271.1)". The record is from RNAcentral. Lineage: Eukaryota; Metazoa; Chordata; Aves; Galliformes; Phasianidae.
GAUCCUGACUGGGAAGGGCAAGCGAGAAAAGAGACGUAGAAGAGGAGAAUGGAAAAAGCUCCAGUGGCUUGCUGUAACUAUGCCUCUUUUGCAGACUUUCACAGAACACUCUGAAAUUUGGAUGCUCUGAGGUGUGGUCACCUGAGUUCUCAACAGGAAACUAAAGUAGAACUCUGGAUGUUACAAGUACAGUAACUAUUGGAUAGUGCAAACAGAAGAAGUGGCAGCCUUGUUUGGAGAGCUCUCAUGAAAAGUGCUAUUUGCUCUUGUUGGAGCAGACGAGCAGACAAUCAGACCGAAAUCCAAUUUAAGAUAAAACUCCAACUGAUAUUUCAUGGAAAUAUCUGUCUGAUUUGAAGAACGAAAGAAGGCUGAAGAUUCAAGGCUGUUCCAUCACCUCAUCCUUCCAUCUCCUGCAGUCAGUAAGAAAGAAAAAAACCCAACCUCUCAAACAUCUUUGCAGACAGCAAGAAUUUGGAAGAAGUGUCAAUUUCCAUCUCUUCAGUGGCAGGCAUUAUCAUCUAGGUGGCAUAUUGGCUCAGUUUAAAUCAUACUGAGAGCUGGCAUUUCCUUUUUCACUACUUCUGCCAUGAAACAAGGAAACAGAAGAGAGGCUCCAGCUGACUACGUGACAUCUUCUGAAUUUGUAUCGUAAUACUCAAAACAUUACAUUCUUACAGUUAAUAAGAUUGUAAAUGUAAACAAUGUGUAAGAGCUGUUGAUAAUUUACUUACACUGUUCCUGAUCAAACAAACUGUUAUCUGAGUAAACCUGAUUAGU